RNAcentral lists this transfer-messenger RNA (408 nucleotides) under Candidatus Omnitrophota bacterium. It matches the Rfam family "transfer-messenger RNA". From Rfam's summary of the family: Bacterial tmRNA, also known as 10Sa RNA or SsrA, is named for its dual tRNA and mRNA-like properties. Its role is to liberate the mRNA from a stalled ribosome. Lineage: Bacteria; Pseudomonadati; Candidatus Omnitrophota. The record is from RNAcentral.
GGGGGUGAAAGGGUUCGACUUAAGAUAUGUCGGGCAAGAACAGCAUGCCGCGGAGGUAAGGUUAGCCGCGUUAACAACCCUUACAAAAAUUAAACGCAAACACGCAAGUGUCACGUUUAGGAACAUUGGUCCAGCCGUCUUUGGCGGCCAGGCCGAUGUUCGUACCAGCCUUCGGACUUAAUUAAGCCCGAAGCCUCUAACUGUCCAGCCUACGGGAUAGAUUAGAGCCCUAGUAGGAUAGCGCCGGCGGUUAGCCUUCCAAACCGGGGCGAAAUUUAAAAGGCUGCGUUCCGUAAAACCCUGCCUGGUAGGAUUUACGGGGCUAAGGCUUGAAAUAUCAGACUAAGCAUGUAGCGGUUCCUGUUCGAUUACUUAAGGACCGGGGUUCGAUUCCCCGCACCUCCACCA